Molecule: ribosomal RNA, 499 nt
Filed under: uncultured bacterium
Lineage: Bacteria
Description: partial 16S ribosomal RNA
Rfam family: Bacterial small subunit ribosomal RNA
Source: RNAcentral
GACGAACGCUGGCGGCGUGCUUAACACAUGCAAGUCGAACGGGCCCGCCCCUGUUUUUGGGGGUGGGUUGAGUGGCGAACGGGUGAGUAUCACGUGAGUAACCUGCCCCCUGCUCCUGGAUAACUGCUUGAAAGGGCGGCUAAUACGGGGUGUGCCGGCUGGUCCGCAUGGGCCUGGUCGGGGUAGUUUCAUCUUCGGGUGGUUCGGUGGGGGAUGGGCUCGCGGCCUAUGAGCUUGUUGGUGGGGUGAUUGCCCACCAAGGCGGUGACGGGUCGCCGGCCUGAGAGGGUGGGCGGCCAAACGGGGACGGGGACACGGCCCAGACGCCUGCGGGAGGCAGCAGUGGGGGGUAUUGCACAAGGGGCGGAAGCCUGAUGCAGCGGCGUCGCGUGAGGGAUGGGGGCCUUCGGGUUGGGAACCUCUUUCUCCGGUGGUGAAGGCCCUGUCCGUUGCGGCGGGGUUGACGGUAGCCGGGUAUGAAGCGCCGGCUAACUACGUG